UUUCUGAGACCGGAAGUGGUCAUCAGCAAGUGUGGAGCCAAACGACAACAAGAUUCUCAGAGGGCGGAGCCAGAGAGCAGCGAUUGGUCAGACCAUAGAUAAUAUAGAAGACAGCGCGCUAGCGUCUCUAGCCUAUGUAUAUGUAUGGUCGGCACGUCUGGUAGCAUCUGUGGCUGCUGUUGAUCUUGUUUUUGGAGUAAAACACGGUGGAAGCUGAAUUAGUGAGGAUGACUCCUGCUCCUGUCAUCUCUAAGCUCCUCACACAUCUUUACCUGCACAUGAGGAAAAUCACUCCUGUAGAAUGCAGAUGUUCAGAGGGAGAUGAUGCCACAUCUGGUCCAGCUGAUGGAAGGUCUUGAAGUUCUCUGACUGGCCUCGACUGAAGAUGGUCGUCUCACUGGAUUUAAGGUUCAGAUGCUCAGUAACAAACUACACCAGUGAGCCAACAGGGAAGCUUUAGGUUUAUUAAAUGUUGCUAUGAAGGUAUCGCUGUUUUUCUUUGUGAAUGCACUGUGCUCCAACUGAAACUUGAAUUAGAACUUAGAAGUAAAUCCUUCCAUCUGAAAGGAUUUAGUUGCAUUAAUAACCUCAUAACAUUCAAAUUUUUUAUUCCAGUCUUGGUUGGAAAUAGAAUCUCUGUAUUGAUUCAGGUAAAAACUGAACUUCACAGCAUGUUGGAGCAAAACAACCAGAUGAAAACUGUGAUGGUGUUGGAUUGUCAGACCGUAAUGUUGCAGCUCAAAGCAGCUUUUCUAUCUCAGUUCAUUCUGACAUUCAGCUAUGAAUCAACACAGCAGAUGGUGAUCCAUGCUGUGGAAGUCUCACAUCUCCUGAUUUAAUGGAGCUGCUUUGCACUUUUUACACAGUUUAUUCACCAAGACUUUAUUUAAUAAAAGUCCCAUCUAGUUUUUAUGAGGAAUGUGAUGUUUUAAUUCUCUGUGAAUAACUGCAGUCUAAUGCAACAGCUGGAAUUGUAACAUCUGUCCUGAUAUUGAUCAUGAAGUAUUGAUCAGAAUACUUAUGGUUAGCAGUCAUCCCUGAAGUUUUACAUUAAAAUCUUUACUUGUGUUGUGAACUUUGGUAAGAAGCAGAAACUUUUGCGUUGCCAUGGAUACAUGAGUGUUAAAUUCUGUCCAUGUUUCCAUUUUGGGAAAUGCAGUCCAUUUCCAGAAUGUGGAGGAAUUUAGUCUCACAAUCACAGACAACAAAUAUUAUCUGAAAGUCGGGUUAUUGUUGUUUAUCAGCACAAUACAAAAAGAUUAAUGUUAGAAAUAUGCCAGUUAAGACUCUAGAAUAUCAUGAUUUAUGUAAAUUUACCUCAAUAAUAUGAAUGUUCAGGUUAAGAUUGUACAGUGAUAUUUAUUAUGCAAGUUUAGCUGAUUAAAGUUUAUGACUCUGCACUAAAAUAUUAUUUAAAUUGACAUCAUUAUUAUAAUAUUUAGGGUCAGACCCUACAGUAUUGAGAUUACGAAAUAAAAUAUUCUAUAAAAUGUAAAUACACUGAACUCAUUUGGAUAUAUUUAAGUGAGACUCUACAAUAUUAUUUGACACAAAUCUAUCUAAAUCAAAAUUUUAAUAAUUUUCACGCCAAACAUUUACUGGACUGAUUUAAACAUUAAAAUCACUCCUUUCUAAUCCUCUGCUGUACGUUCAAACCUGAGGCCUUAAAUAGAAACACACAAGUAUCUGAUUGAAGGAACUUCUGCAGAGUCCUGGUUCCAGAACAUGAUGAUAGAAUUAUAGACAAACUUUAACAAAAGCUGCCUGAGAGUUUACAGGUUUUUAUGUUAGAUUUCUUCAGUAGUUUAAUGAGCGUUAUCAGCAAAAAUCAAGUGUUCAUUUGAUGAACUUGAUUUCCUGAAACAUACAGAAUUGGAGCUCAUAUCUUUGGCAGCUGUAAAGUUUCUGCUCCUUCAAAGUUCACAACACAAUGAAUGAAUUCCUAAAACACUCUCAAUGCUAGAGGCGUUUGUGAUGCUGAAGCAGUGAUCAGUUUUUCUGUUUCUUCUCUGGAGAUGCACAAUGAGGGACGUCUGCAGCGACUGAGAAAGAGUCUCACCACAUCCUGACAUGAGGAAAAAGACUUUAUUGAAGACUACAAUGAGAAAAACUAUCAGACAGCAGACGGCAUGCAUUCAAGGUGAGCUCUGAACAUCUGAUCUGGAACAGGAAUUCAAUAACGGCAGCAUGAGCUUCAUUUCAGUCUGUAGCUGCUGAAUUCAUGGAUGAAUCAUCUGGUACUAGAGAGGAAGACCAUCAAACAUCCACGUCAGCUGAUGGAGGUCCAAGAGUCUCACCUAACAACCAACCUACAGAGUGAAGACCUCGAAUCUGAUUGGACGGCCUCCUAUUCAGCCACGUGUGAACAAAUGCCUCUAAGUUGAUUUGUUUUCUAAAAUAAAUCUAGUUUGAGUCCUAA
Molecule: long non-coding RNA, 2419 nt
Organism: Amphiprion ocellaris (clown anemonefish)
Lineage: Eukaryota; Metazoa; Chordata; Actinopteri; Pomacentridae
Exons: 3
Source: RefSeq, a predicted model, not a curated record